GUCGAACGGCAGCAUGAUCUAGCUUGCUAGAUUGAUGGCGAGUGGCGAACGGGUGAGUAAUACAUCGGAACGUGCCCUGUAGUGGGGGAUAACUAGUCGAAAGAUUAGCUAAUACCGCAUACGACCUGAGGGUGAAAGUGGGGGACCGCAAGGCCUCAUGCUAUAGGAGCGGCCGAUGUCUGAUUAGCUAGUUGGUGAGGUAAAGGCUCACCAAGGCGACGAUCAGUAGCUGGUCUGAGAGGACGGUCAGCCACACUGGGACUGAGACACGGCCCAGACUCCUACGGGAGGCAGCAGUGGGGAAUUUUGGACAAUGGGCGAAAGCCUGAUCCAGCAAUGCCGCGUGUGUGAAGAAGGCCUUCGGGUUGUAAAGCACUUUUGUCCGGAAAGAAAUGGCUCUGGUUAAUACCUGGGGUCGAUGACGGUACCGGAAGAAUAAGGACCGGCUAACUACGUGCCAGCAGCCGCGGUAAUACGUAGGGUCCAAGCGUUAAUCGGAAUUACUGGGCGUAAAGCGUGCGCAGGCGGUUGUGCAAGACCGAUGUGAAAUCCCCGAGCUUAACUUGGGAAUUGCAUUGGUGACUGCACGGCUAGAGUGUGUCAGAGGGGGGUAGAAUUCCACGUGUAGCAGUGAAAUGCGUAGAGAUGUGGAGGAAUACCGAUGGCGAAGGCAGCCCCCUGGGAUAACACUGACGCUCAUGCACGAAAGCGUG
This 713-nucleotide ribosomal RNA is filed under the name uncultured Ralstonia sp. RNAcentral's name for it is "bacterial SSU rRNA". It matches the Rfam family "Bacterial small subunit ribosomal RNA", at positions 61 to 763 of the family's 1533-position model. Lineage: Bacteria; Pseudomonadati; Pseudomonadota; Betaproteobacteria; Burkholderiales; Burkholderiaceae. The record is from RNAcentral.